Molecule: long non-coding RNA, 282 nt
Filed under: Lonchura striata (white-rumped munia)
Lineage: Eukaryota; Metazoa; Chordata; Aves; Passeriformes; Estrildidae
Description: domestica (Bengalese finch) lncRNA (ENSLSDG00000001224.1)
Source: RNAcentral
AGUUUAAACCCUGGGCUUGGUGACCACCUCGUGGGAUCCUGAACGCCGUGUCCAGUGUGCCUGCCAGCCCCUGAGGACAGCAACUAGGAGACAUCCAGGAGUGUGGCUGUGCCCAGCAGUGACACAGGCUCAGAGGUGAGCCGGGGAACUGAGAGGGGACAGCUGAACACACGGAGGCACAGGGAGAUGGGGACCAGCGCCACGAUGUGCAGCAAAAAGAAAACAAGGAGAAGUACUAUAAAAAAUGAGAGGAAGGCUUUUCUCUAAGCCUGAACAACUCCU